This 515-nucleotide ribosomal RNA is filed under the name uncultured Actinomycetes bacterium. RNAcentral describes it as "bacterial SSU rRNA". It matches the Rfam family "Bacterial small subunit ribosomal RNA", at positions 355 to 879 of the family's 1533-position model. The record is from RNAcentral. Lineage: Bacteria; Bacillati; Actinomycetota; Actinomycetes.
UGGGGAAUAUUGCGCUAAUGCGCGAAAGCGUGACGCAGCGACGCCGCGUGGGGGAUGAAGGCCCUCGGGUCGUAAACCCCUUUCGCCAGGGACGAAGGGAAACUGACGGUACCUGGAGAAGAAGUCCCGGCUAACUACGUGCCAGCAGCCGCGGUAACACGUAGGGGACGAGCGUUGUCCGGAAUCAUUGGGCGUAAAGCGCGCGUAGGCGGCCCGGAAAGUCGGUUGUGAAAGCCCGGGGCUCAACCCCGGGACUGCAUCCGAUACUUCCGGGCUGGAGGUAGGUAGGGGAGAUCGGAAUUCCUGGUGUAGCGGUGAAAUGCGCAGAUAUCAGGAGGAACACCGGUGGCGAAGGCGGAUCUCUGGGCCUUACCUGACGCUGAGGCGCGAAAGCUAGGGGAGCGAACAGGAUUAGAUACCCUGGUAGUCCUAGCCGUAAACGUUGGGUGCUAGGUGUGGGUGGACAUCGACCCCAUCCGUGCCGAAGCUAACGCAUUAAGCACCCCGCCUGGGGA